AAUAAUACCCCAUAGUCCACUACGCCUGGAACGGUGAGUGGAUGAAAGCUCAGGCGGCAUAGGAUGGGCCUGCGGCGUAUCAGGUUGUAGGGGGUGUAAAGUACCCUCUAGCCCUCUACGCGUACGGGUGUUGGGAGACAUAGCCCGGAGAUGGAUUCUGAGACACGAAUCCAGACCCUACGGGGUGCAGCAGGCGCGAAAACUUGGCAAUGCGAGCAAUCGUGACCAGGGAACUCCAAGUGGCUGGGGUAAGACCCAGUCUUUUCAGAACUCUUCAAAGGUUUUAGAAUAAGGGGUGGGUAAGGACGGUGCCAGCCGCCGCGGUAAUACCGGCGCCUCAAGUGGUAGUCGCUUUUAUUGGGCCUAAAACGUCCGUAGCCGGUUUGGUACAUUCGUGGGUAAAUCAACUCGCUCAACGAGUUGAAUUCUGCGAGGACGGCCAGACUUGGGACCGGGAGAGGUGUGGGGUACUCUCAGGGUAGGGGUAAAAUCCUGUCAUCCUGAGAGGACCACCUGUUGCGAAGGCGCCACACUAGAACGGAUCCGACGGUCAGGGACGAAGCCUAGGGGCACGAACCGGAUUAGAUACCCGGGUAGUCCUAGGUGUAAACGCUGUGGACU
RNAcentral lists this ribosomal RNA (621 nucleotides) under uncultured archaeon. RNAcentral's name for it is "bacterial SSU rRNA". It matches the Rfam family "Archaeal small subunit ribosomal RNA", at positions 145 to 768 of the family's 1478-position model. The record is from RNAcentral.